Ahaetulla prasina is the source of this 13967-nucleotide long non-coding RNA. RefSeq lists it as uncharacterized. The transcript is spliced from 3 exons. NCBI's taxonomy places the organism in Eukaryota, Metazoa, Chordata, Lepidosauria, Squamata, Colubridae. The record is from RefSeq and is a predicted model, not a curated record.
CUAGGCCCCCGCGUUUAACAGCGCAUUCCACUCGCAGUGCAGCUACCUCAGCGGCCUGGUCUACUCAGGCAUCCUUGCCAGAGAUAUGCAGGGCAGCCACCUGGUCGUCGCCCUCUCCGUUUAUUAGACACUACAGAGUGGACAAGUAUGCUUCGGCUGAAGCUGCCUUUGGCCGUAGGGUGCUGCAGCAGGUACUUGUAUCUGAGGUUGAAUCUGUCCAGACCGAUCCCUCCCGUAGUUAGGGACACUAGGCUUUGGUAUGUCCCACUCUGACUGCUGUCUCCACCAUAACGGAGAAGGGGCGUUGGUACUUACCUGAGACGCACCUUCUAGUUCAGUGGAGACAGCAGUCAGCCCCUCCCUAUUUCGGUCUGGAUCCUCUUUUGUUUGUUUGUUUUGGAUAAUAAAAUUUGUUUCUCUAUUUUCCACGACGCAUUGAGUCUGGUUUUUCUCGCCUUCAUCAAAAUCUGGGGUUCCCAGCAGCAAGGGGCGGGACUUUCAGCUUCAACAGACUCAGUUAUCCAAUCUGAACAGAGGAGCUCCACCCACUCUGACUGCUGUCUCCACUGAACUAGAAGGUUCCUUCUAUGUUGUUGGACUAUGGAGUCAUGCCUGCUCAAUGGGUCAUCCUGUUAACCAUUUGCAAGACAUUGAAGUCAUGGCUGUUUCCCCAGGCAUUUGGAUCAAGGGGCGAAUGAGCUCUCCUACUAUGAGUGGGACUAUUACACUGCAAUGUCUGCCUGUUUCAAGUUUGGAUAAAGAAGGAGAUUGGAUUUCCUGCUGAGGAAUCAUAAAUCGGUCAUGGACAAGGAAAAACAUACAUCACAUCUGAGAUUUAGCAGAUGAGGUCAUGAUGCUGAUGAAAAUUAUGCAGCCAACCAGAAUUGUGAAGUCAAGAAAACAUUUUAAAGUGGCUACUUGAAAUGCUCAAGCUAGUUCCAGGUCAGACGUAACAAAACAUGUCUGUUUAUGGUCUAUUUCAAUAUGAAAUAUUAUUUGUGGCAUUGUCAGAAUUAUGUCUCAUAGGAUCUGGAAAUAUCUAUGUCCACAGACCAGAAAGUGACAACUGGAUGCUCUUAUCUUGGUCUGGAUGUGAUAAAUACCUACAAAAGUGUUGGCUUUGCUAUAGAUUACAUAGUUUGGCAAGUAUUGUGAAUUUCCAAUUAAAUAACCAUUUAAAUUAAUAGUUCCAUUGGUUGCUUGAACAAUAAAAAUGAACAUAACUGCAGUUUAUAUUCCUACAAAGAAAUACAGAUAAGGCAAAAGACAAGUUCUAUGCACAUAUACAAAUAAUCCUGGGUUCAUUGCUAUGGAGAGAAUUAUUUCUGAUAACUGGUAACCGAAAUUUCCAUGUUGUUAAAAAUCUGCAGGAUAGAAAAAAUGUCUUGGACAAAUUUGUUGCUGGAGAGCUGAACAACAAUGGCCUAUGCCUGCUAUCAUUUGCAGCAGCAAAUGAGAUAAUAGUUGGAAACAGCUUAUUUCAUUAUCCACUGAAACAAUACAUGAAACAAACUCACCCAGUGGAAAAGAUAUGUAAGUCCUUAAUUAUGCCCUAACAAACAGAAGUUUUUAAACAUCACUCAUGGAUAUCUGGUCAAUGAGAGGCACCAACUCUGGCUCUAAUCAUCCCUUGUACAGUUGUUCCUACAACUCCAAUUGAAACAAAUUGCUUGUAAUUAGCCACACCCAAAUGUUAUGACUGGGUGAAGCUACAAGAUCCUACUUGCCAGCAAAAAUUGCAACUGCUACUUACUAACUGUUUUGCCAACCUUAAACAUCUGCAAGAUGUAAGUGAUCAAGCACUAUUGUCAUGCCACAACAUAUAGAACAACUAUAAUUUCUCAUUAAUAAAGAAUGUGCCAAAGAAAGUUGUUCUGUAGCAAGAUAGUGAACAUGACUAUGGAUUUCAGACGAAUGUCUAGCACUAAUUGACAAACAAAAACAGUGCACAUUCAAAAAUGUGACAACUUAAUAAAUGUGUACCUGUUUCAAAACAGAAGAGAUUGCCUAUUGGGAUAAUAGAUAAUAGAAUAAUUUGAAAAAGCCACACAUUGCCAAGAAUAUUGAAGUCUUUCCUCAUAUUAUGCAGUAAAUUUCAAUAUUCAUAUAAUUUCAAUAUUCAAACAACAAGGUCAGAAAAUCAGAAAGCAGUUUUGUAUGCUAUAGAACUGCAGAACUGAAUCAUUAGCAAAAGUGUUUGAUACUUUUUAAAAGUCACCCUAUUCAGGAAGAUACUCCAGUAGAAUCAGUAAAACGAACAUUUCAAAAAUAUAAGUCCAUAUUCUCAAAAAUAAAAGUGACUAUUCAUUAAUUACAAAGAGCGAAAACUGCUGGAACAAAUGAAUUCAUGGCAGAAGCUUUCAAAUUUGAAGAUCAUGUAUUAAUUUUUUUUUGUUCCACUCCUUUAAAUGGUUUGGAAGCCACAAAAACACCAAAUCCAUUGAAAUAGACAAUAAAUUACAAUUUUAAAAAAUGAGGCAGUCAAGAAUGCAAGAAUUACUGUGGGAUUAGCUUAUUUUCAAUUGCAGGCAAUAUAUUUGUGAAACUAAUCAAUAAAGUCUUCAAAGGCAACUACUGUAUCCUACAAAUAAGCUGAUUUCCUGAAAGCGAAUGCUGUGGUCAAAUAUUUGUACUAAAUAAUUGUUCAAUAACACAAUAUGUAUGGAAAGAGCCUCAUUGUUGCAUUUGUUGACAUUGAAAUGGCAUGUAAUAGUAUCCAUCAGCCAACAUUGCAGAAUGAAUACCUGGUAAAAUAAUAGCCUUCUGCAGGUACAUAAGAAAUCAUAAAGUCAUAUCCAUCCAUUAAUGUCAAUAUAUCCGAAGACUUUCUUGUAUGUGCUAAUAUAAGACCGCAAAUAAUCUCUCUUCCUGUUCAAUACUGUGAUCAGUGCAAUCAUGUUGAAAAUCUUGAUUGGUAUGGUGUCAGAUUUGGGCAAGAUGAAUUCAUCAUAGAUCUAAUGUUAGCUAUUAAGAGCAUGAUUUUUACAGAAAGUGAAAGAGAAGAUUUUGAAAUCUUACUUUAAAAACUGCUGAUUAUCCAUACAGUAGCUUUAUUAUCAAUAUUGACAGUACUAAGGUAUCUACAAAUAUUGGCUCUCAGGAAACCUUUGAAGUUUAUUGAGUUCAGCUUGAACAAUUUAAAGAACAAAAUAACUAACAGCCAAUAUCAACAAAUCAACUGGCUAGAUUGCUUCAGACUUCAGAACCCGUGCAUGGCGGCUUUGGAAAAAAGUAGCAUAAAACAUUGCUAUUGACGUGUGCAUCUAUCAGUCGAUAAUACUAUCUACCAAUACUGUUAUAUGAUGCAGAAUCUUGAACUUUGCUUCAAAAUUAUUUGAGAGAGCUCAAAAUAUUCAAAAUAUAUUGACUGCCCUAAUAUUAGGGAUGUUAAUGUAUAAAAAACACAAAAUCAAAACAUGAAAGAAUGGUGCUGCAAACAGCCUAUUAUAGCCUGUGAAAUUCAGAUACAUUGAAUGUAAAAGUUUGGACACAUUUGCCCCAUGAUGAUUUCCUUAUCAACUGCUUUGAAAAAUCACACCCUGUAGGUUGGAAAGUACAGCAAUUGGUUCCAAAGAAAACUUGGCUGAAGUAUGUGGGAGAAGUUCUAAUGAACUUAGAUUUAAGACGAUAGAAGUUAAAAUCAUAACAAACAAAAAUGGAAGAUUAUACUGUGAGUGGACUCAUAGUACUUAGAGCCACAUAUUGGCUGUAACAAUGUUGUACUUACCAGCUGUGAGUUAACUUCAAGAUUGAGAUAAAUAGGGAUCAAAUUAUAUAGUUGACCUACCCUAUUAUAUCUUAAAGUUAUAUUUUCAUACACUUUGGAGAAAAGAGUUGAUAUAAUUAUUAUAUCUUUUAAGCUUUUUCCAUUACCUUGUUUUGGAGAUAUGAUCAUAUGUCUACUUAAAAUCAAUAAAUGCAAUAGAGGAGGCAGACAAUAAUUUUGCUAUCUAUUUUUCUACCAAAUAGUGCAAUGAAAAUUCCUGCUCUUUUGUACUUUUGGCAGCUAUGAAACCCACCUAUUCAUCUAUAAUAUUUUAUAACUUCAUCCAAAAUUUUCAAUUUAAGUGACUUGCCUAUAUUUUAAUAAUAGUAUUUGCUGCUAGUUAUCAAAAUCAUCUUUCUCCCCUUUUUAAAAACUGGGAUAAUUAUAGUCAAACCCCAAUACUGAGUGAAUCUGGUCAUUUUGCCCAUGUGUAAUAUGUGAAUACUGAGGACAAAUCACUUUUAUUAACCUUUAGGGUGGAUAACAUCUCUUUUGGUGCCUUUCCACAUUUCAACUGACUGCUCAGUCUAGAGCAGCGGUUCUCAACCUGUGGGUCGGGACCCCAUUGGGGGUUGAAUGAUGAUUUGCCAGGGGUCGCCUAAGACCAUCGGAAAUAUGGGAAGUAUACUUGUGAGUCGAAGAAUCCAAUGGUUGACUCCACAAGCCAGCUGCAGGCUCUUCAAAUCGCUAGCCGAAUUCGGCUUCAGGCGCGAUGAAUUAAAAAAGAGAGAAAUUUUGGCUCUGAUGUUUCCCUCUCAAGCCAGCUGCAAUCACUCCCAAUCGCUAGCCUAAUCUGGCUUCAGGCGUGAUAAACUUAAUAGGGAGGAGUCUCCGCUUUAAUGCCUCCGUCGUCAAGGCAAUCGCAAGCAGUUCAGAUUUCUAGCCAAUACGGCUUCAGGUGUGAUAAAUUCAAACCAAAAAUAAUUUUAUAGUUGGGGUUGCCACAUCGUGGGGAAUUGUAUUAAAGGGGUCGCCACAUCAUGGGGAAUUGUAUUAAAGGGGUCACAGCACUAUAAAGGUUGAGAACCACUGGUCUAGAGAUUUCUGACCUUUAGCUUGUGGCCAAUGUAGGAGUAGUCUAAAACCUAAUGCAAGUCUAUUGAAUCAAUCAACUCUAUAUACAGCUCAGGAAAAAAAAUCUUCCCCCUAGUUAAAGGAAUAUGGGACAUUAUAUACAGAUAAGCAGACAACAAUGUAGCAGUAUCAUUUAAUAUACCAACUGCUAGCAACUUGACUUUGUGCCAAGAAGCAUAAUAUUAGCAUAAUUCCAUAUAUUGGAGUGGCUAAGUGUGAUGAGCAGUUGCUUGAGGCAAGUCCAUACGUGUAAGUUCGAGUUGCUCCUUUUGGUCGUCCCUUUAGAGAAGGGCUUAGCAGAACUGGUCCUUAACAUGGAAAGGUUUCCCCCAGUAGCACAAAAGGCCAUAGAAAGAUGAAAGUCCUUGACAUCUUGCAGCUUUUGGGGUCCUGAAGGUGCAGAAUGGAUUUCUUCCUUGGCUCUCAAGUAACAAGGUGCAGCGUUCUUCCUGGUUACUGCACAACCACCACCUUUGGCUGCAAGGAUCUGGUCUAAAACUGAAGUGUUUUGCCCAAUUGUAGAAUUUCUAUGUGUAAGGUGCCAUUUACUUUGUAGCUGUAUCACAUACUAUUUCUGGUAUAAAUGCUUCAUAGUAAUCAUAAAUAUAUAUUUCCAGUCUUAUUACACAUACCUGAUUAAACAAAAAUCUUUGAGAAAACAUUGUCUGUUACUCUGAACCUGCAGGACUUUUACCUUUCUCCUUUUUCACAGAUGACCAAUUGUGAGCUAUUUGUUGUGUUUUCUCAAGAUGCCUGUUUGGCUUCUUUUUAUUUAUUUUGUAUUUGGACAGGAUAAGGCCUGCUGAGAUGCAACAGUCCCAUUCACAAAGUACAUCCUGUUGUCACACAGAGUUAAGUACACAUUCCAUGCAUGGAACAAUGAUAUGGCAAAGGACAGAUCUCUGCAAGCAUCGUAUUGGCUGGGGACAGGACUAAUCACAACUGUCAGGAUAGGUAUAAAGAAGUGACAUCUUUCAGAUGCCCCAAGUGUACCUUCUUGAACCAAUAAACUUUACUGACACUAAGCAGCAAAGCAUUCCAUUUUGGUUAUUAUUGUCUUAGUUUGGCUGCUAACUCAAGUAAGAAUUUUUCUGGCAUAAGGUUAAGCAAUGGAUCAAUUCUGCAUGACGGAUUAAAGAAUGCCUUGUUUCUUUGGAUGAGCAAAAGAAUGGAAAUCUUGACUCAGGUAGACCAUUGUCAAUUAUGCAGCAGAACAGAUUUAUUGGAGGUCACUUUAUAGUCACAGAAGAGGUAAAAUUGGCUAUUUGUGGCUUCAUAGUGGACAGGGUUAAUACAGCCUCAUUGAGUGACAGAAUCUCCUCAUUGCCAUAAGAUUCCUGAUCACAAUACCCUAAAAUAUUUAUUCUUGGAAGGAGAAAAGAAAAUGUGAAUCUAAUUAUCAUCCCAAUAAGAGAAUAUGUAUAUAUACAGUAUGUAUAUGUGUAGGGUGCUCUCUCAACUUGGUUGUUUUCUUGCAGAUGUUUCAUUACCCCAACUGGAUAACAUCGUCAAUAUGAUGUUAAUUACUUUGGGCAAUGAAACAUCUGCAAGAAAACAACCAAGCUCAGAGAGCACCAAGGACCCCUCAUUUCAACCAUGAGCUACAAAUUUUCUCCUUUACAAUAUAUGCAAUUCAGCAAAUCCAAGGUUUUUGGGUGGAAGGUGAAGCAACUGCCCUGAUCUUUAGAUGUAGAUGGAGCCCCUCCACAGGAUGCCUCAGGAUCUGAUUGUUUGAAUAUAUUUAUUCAGGACAGUCAAACUCAAACAUUUAAAAGACAGUUCUAAGAGCUCUUUUGGUAUUUUAGAUUUUUCCUCAUGGACCCAUGGGGGAGGAAGUAAUAUAGAAUAAAAAUACAGUAGGAAGGGUUCAAAGAUAUCUUCCAUUUUUAUGAUUAUUGAGCUGGUGUCUCAUACACCAUACUGAAUAUAGUGGUGACUAUAUUCAAACAUUUUCUAAAUUCACUGAAUGUCCUGAAUUGUAAACUAGUGGGCUCAUAUAAUAUUCUAAGGUACAAAAUAAAGUUAAAAAUAACUUUUUGGAUGUUCAGUUAAUCUAGUUAGUUAUAUUGUGUGAACCAAUACAGAAUUUUCAAAAGCCUUGAACAAGCCUAAUCUUUAGGUUUAUUCCAAAUCUAAAACGAACUGAUUGAGAUCCUGUCAAACCAUACAAGAUCCUGUCAAACCAUUUCUGACUCCUAGCAACCACAUAGGUACAUUUUCCCCAUGAUUCAAAUCCACACAGUUAGAUAAAUUACAGUCUAAUAACGUCCCAGAAUGAUUAGUUGAUGGGAGCUUAUGGGAAAGCAAGAGAAUGAAGCCUCAGUUGGAGAAAUGAGAGGCAAGAGAAUAGGGAGAGUCUAAAUAUAAGAAAUAGAUAUUUAUGCUAGUUUCAGUAUGACACAAUAGUGCCCCCUAAAGCUUCUGAUAAGCUGACCCCACAUUAAAAAGUCUGAAGUGAUGGAAUAUAAUGUUUACAACUCUCUCUGUAUAACAAAAUUACAACUAGUAAAAAUCACACUGAACAUUUCAAAUUCCAAAGAUUACUUAGAACAAGGGUCUCCAACCUUAGUUCCUUUAAGACUUGUGGGCUUCAACUCCCAGAGUCCCUCAGCCAGCAAAGCCAAUGCUGUUCAACUGGUGCUCCAGAUUUUUAUUUUUAUUCAUUUUCAGUUUUUUAAACUAUUUUAGUUGUUGUUAUUAGUCCUUCCAUUUGAUUUUUACUAAAUUCUGUUAUAAAUUUUCCCUCCCAUAUUUCCUUUCUAUGUAAUAUGUUUCUUUCUUUGCUUAUUAUACUUCUAAUAAAUAUUAUUUUAGACAGAUUACAAUACUAAUUGGAACAUUCAAGGUUUUAAAUAUUUUUUGUAUAAAACAAUGUCAAUAAAAUACAAAUAAUAAAAAUACAGGAGCUUUGCCUGUAUUUUGGCAAACCCCUAUCAAGCUAGAGACAAUCAUUGGAUAGGAAUCAAAAAUUGAAAGUGGGAAUCAGAACCGAAGAGCAAAUUGAUAUAAUACAAGAUCCAAGAAAGCUCUUCUGAAUCCUGACACCAAUAAAAAACUUUCUAGUCCUGGUCUCCUUUCUUAAUGUUCUGAUCAUAUCAAAUUAUAAAUCCAGUUCAAUUUUUAUCAUCCUACAGUAAUUCCUGCAGCUAUAUUGAGUGUAUAACUCUUAAAUUUCUUCAGUACAUUAGAAGUGCUAUCUGGAAGGCAACAGGUUGGGAAAGCUAUUUUUAUUUAAUAGCAGACUGCCAAUUUUUGCAAAUUCUAAAAUUUUAACCACCAUAUGUAUAACAGAAAAAUUACAGAAACUGCCCAGCAAUUUUCAUAGGAAGCAAGGUCUUACAGUCCAAAAUGUAUGUAACUCGGAACAAGACAGUUGGGAGUUAUUAUUUACAGUGCUUUGGAUGAGCUUCAGAUAAUACAUACCUGAAGCUUUUAUGAUCUAAGACGGUUCAGUGAAGCUGAAGAGGGGGCAAUCUAAGGCAGGCAAUCCUGUAAUUACAACUGCAAUUCUAAUAAUUCAAAGAAAACAUAUGCUUUAAGUUUAGUGGGUUUUGCCAUGCUACAUCUUCAGAAGGGAUAAGAAAUGGUCUGACUGUAAAGCAACUUUCUUUACACCUGAACUGAAACGUUUUUAAAACACAGUUUCUCUUCAAACCGAUGCAACAUCUGUUGAAUUGUUGUUUCCUAUUAGAAACUUGGGAAAAUCUUUUAACAGAGGCACAUUUGUGACUAAGCAGAGGGUGAAGUGAACUGCUACAUCAGCAUUUCUUAAUAGACUCAUCAGAAAUUUGGCCAAGACUAUCUUCUACGUACACUGGAGGAGGUUGACGUACUGAAUGAAUCGGAUGCAACUUGGAGCUGAAUUAGUUGGUUGCUAUGCUAAUUAAUCUACAUAUACCCUCAAGUUAUCAUUCCCAAUAUUGCAUAUACAGUUUACAUUUCUAGCACUAAUGAAUUGUGCAGUAAAGUAUAUAAGCCAUUCUACUGCCUGAAGCAAGCUCACAGCGAUAAAGAGCAAGAACUGAAGGAAUUCAAAAGAUAGCUACAUAGAGUAAUAACUUUUCUUAAGUGUUAUUAUGGUUGUUUUAACAUGUGGAUAGUCUGAUUUUGCCAAGUGAUGGAUUCAUAAUGAAGGUCCUCAUCACUGCAAGCCAGUGAUAAUGGUAUUACAGGUGCUUCUGCUGUCUAAGCAAUAAGUCACCUACUAAAUUCUGAGAUCUUUAUGAUAUUCAGGCAUUUCUACAAGUAGGCUUGAGUAGAGGCUUGCCUUUACUUUUCUGGAAACCCCCCUGAGCUAUUAAACUGACGUCAAUAGAUAGUUGUCAAACAAAGAUGAUUAAAAUUUGGCAAGGGGAAUAAAUUGAUGAAAGGUAGUUCUCUUGCUUCUCACACAAUGGGCACAUAAGCAGUGCUGCUGUGGGCAAAUAAAUAGGCAAAUAUGGUAGAGAAAAGGCAAAAUGCAGAUAUACUAUGAUUGGUUUACAGCGUGGGAGGGUUCCUACCACGAAUUUCAAAUUCAAAGAACUUUGGUUUCAAGUAUUCAAGAUGGGGGCAUAUUAAGGAUAGUAGCAGAGAUCUUUCAUGGGAAACACUGAGUGUAGAAAGAGAUGACUGAGUUCUUGAUCAUGGGUACAAGUCUGGCAGAAGAACAAUUUUCUUCUGAGGGUUGUUCUGUAAAGGGCUAAUCCAGAACACAAUAAACUCUUCAAGGACAUUUGCACUUUUCAAAAAUAAAUAAAUAAAUUCUCCAAAAUCCACAUGAACUUUCAGGUUUUAAUUAAAGCCCACUUCAACAGCAUAAAUGGUUUUGAAAUGCUCUACCCAGAAUGGAGGUAAUAAUAAUUCCUCUAAAUUUCUCCAGGAAAAUGAGUUAUUCAGCAAUGACUACACAUUCAUGCACACACCUUGAUUACAUCUUCGCUGUGUAACAUUGGAAUCUGACUGAAAUACUUUUUAAAGGAAAUCACUUUUAACAUUAGCAAACUGUCUUUCUGGUACUAUUGUAAAUUAUUACCAGCUACUUCUAGACACAUGCUAAAUACAUAUUAACAAUGUCUAAAGGCUGUUCUGCCUUUAUAUUGGGAUGUCAAAUUCUUUUUAAAGCUUAAAUUGGGUACUCUGCAGAGAAACAAAAAUAUUGGUUCCAAAUGUUUUCAUAAUUACAUGCAUUUAUAGAAAAUAGAGCAGGAUUAUGACAGAGCUUUCCACUAAAUUUUCUGUUUCUGGGAAGAGCUCUUUCUCAACCCUUUUUGUUCUCUGUCUGAGAUCACACAUCAUUUAAACUGGUACAAUCAUAAUUUAGGACAUCACAGCUAAUUGAUGCAAUAUACUAAACUAUAAAUUGUAGUUUACAGAUCACAGUGGCUCUUCACACGAAUACAUUAAGCCAAAAUCAAAGAAAAUUGCAUUAAGGCAAUUGUGUGAUCCGUGAAUCAAGUCCAUAACUAAUAUUAAACGAGCAUGCAAUCAAACGAUUACAAGUCUCUGGUUUCAACAAAGGGUGGCCAAUUUGAAAUUUUAACAUGUAGAGCACCAUAGGUUGGUUAAAAAGUUAUGUGCAGAGUUGAGUCAAGAGCAGUGGUGGGUUUCAAAACUUUUUACUACCAGUUCUGUGGGUGUGGCUUGGUGGGCAUGACUUGGUGGGCAUGGCAGGGGAAGGAUACUGUAAAAUCUCCAUUCCCUCCCCACUCCAGGGGGAGGUUACUGCAAAAUUCCAAUUUCCUCCUGAGCAGCUGGGACUUGGGAGGCAAAGAAUAGACAGGGGUGGGGCCAGUCAGAGGUAGUAUUUACUGGUUCUCCCAACUACUCAAAAUUUCUUCUACCGGUUUUCCAGAACUGGUCAGAACCUGCUGAAACCCACCUCUGGUCAAGAGGUGUUGUGUCUAUUAGGCUUUCUAGCCUAAUGCUUUGUAUAAAUAAAAUCUAUAAUUCAUCUGCUCUCCACUGAUAGGAACAUCUGCAAAUGGGUCGAAAAUGUUAAGAUUUUCAUGUGUAACUGUGUGAUUAAAACCUUGCCCCUCUUUUGCAUGCAUUGCACAUGAAAUCGAUCACACGGUCAUGGUUCCAUCGAUUUUUUUGGAACUCCUGCUACCCCCAGAUAUUUUUAUGACAGCAGAAAAUAGUAUUUGCACAAACGUGUCUUUGUGAGGACACUUUUUAAAUACAUCUUGCAAAGUAUUCAGACUGCAUAUAGGAAUGCUCUCAUAAAAUCUUCCUGGGUUUCUCUAAACUCAGAGAAUGUUCACACACUCAACUUUGGGCUUAUUCCUCGGAAAUGAGAAAUCUUGUAUGUCUAGAUUAGAUUCCAACUAACUCCAAAUUUAGAUUGCAGAUUUAGAGUGGAAGGAAGGAACCAAAGCUUCAGCUUUUGGGGAUCUUCCAAAUAGAUCAACAACUGCAUCCAUUGGCAUUGUUGUUCCUUCAGACAAAGGGGUCAAAUAUGGGCUAAAAACGUACAGAACGGAUCCCUUGGUUCUGUGAAAUUUCCAGAGAUAAUGGAUGAAAAAUGUCUCCAUAGAUGUUUUACCCAAACUAUUCUGAAGUUCAAGUACUUAGAAGUUCCCAUGGCAAUUAUUAUUUACACAGAAUGCCCUCUUUAUGUUCAGUUUUCCUGCUAAGCUCUAUUUUCUGAUUCAAGACUCUGAUGAUUUAUUGUUUGGCCUCUGAUUAGUAUAUUUCCCCAGUUUGUUACAAUUGACCAGUUCAAGCCCCCUCGUAAAUCUUUCAGCUCUGGUUUAUACUUGUGUGGCUGCUCAUAUGUGUACGCACAUGUAAAUGAAUUGCACAAUGGAGGUAAUUCUAAUAUAAAGGGUGGAGGGCAGGGUGGGAUGUCUGCUAAUUGAAUGACCUCACUCACUGUUCGGGGAACAAGUGGUACCACAACUUUUCCAAAAUAGCCUUCAAUAGUCUUGUAUAUAGCCAAGAAAUGUUAUUUCAAGCAACUUCAAUGGAGUAUUGAGAGGCACGCAAUGAAUUAUAUUGUUUAUAAUAAAAAAUUAUAUAUGGACUUCUCCAACCUAAUGGCCCAUAGUUAUGUGAAGCUACCAUUUCUACAAUCCCUGAGCAAUUGGCCCAACAUUUAUGGGAAUUCUGGGAGUUGCUGUCCCACAUAUUAAGAGAAAGUUAAGUGUGUGCGCGUGCACGUGGCAUGUGCAUGUGUAUGCAUAGGUAUAGAUUUUUUCCCCUUUUCUGGAUUUUUCUCCUAAAGAAAAUCCAUAUUAAUAGUAAAAAGAAAAACAGAGUUAACAAGUGCACAAAAUGGCACAUUAUUUCCUAAAAUCAUAAAUACUUUUGUCAGUUUGCCUUAUUUUUCCAGUGUGCUCACAGGAUAUGAUUUUGCAUUUGUGCCCAUUCUACAUUGAUGGGGGUCACAUCCUUCGUUCUGGAAUUCCAGGGCUAGAAAAAAAAUCAGAUAAAUUGAAAUAGCUGCAAACUAGGUCAACAGGAAUGAGCAAGGAACUAGAACAUAAUGGUACAGAGAGAGCUUAAAGAAACUGAAUGUGUUUAGCUUUAAGAAAGUGGAAGGGAAAUAUAAAUAUUCUUCAAAUAUCUGAAGAGAUAUACAGUAGAGAUCAAGCUCUCUUUCCUAUUACUGGAUCUAUAGGACACAGAAUGAUGAGUUUAAAUUAUAAAAGGGUUAAAUGGAGAGGGUGCGCAACUUAGGCGUUCUCCUGGAUGGGCGGUUGUCUUUUGAAGAACAUUUGACGACCGUCUCCAGGAGAGCUUUAUCAGGUACGCCUGAUUCGCCAGUUGCGCCCCUUUCUUGACCGGGAUUCCUUAUGCACAGUCACUCAUGCUCUUGUUACCUGUCGCCUGGAAUACUGCAAUGCUCUCUACAUGGGGCUCCCCUUGAAGAGCACCCGGAGGUCCAGAAUGCAGCUGCGCGGGUGAUAGAGGGAGCUGCUCGUGGCUCCCAUAUAAUACCAUAUAAUACCAAUCCUGCGCAAGCUGCACUGGCUGCCUGUGGUCUUCCGGGUGCACUUCAAGGUGUUGGUUACCACCUUUAAAGUGCUCCAUGGUUUAGGACCGGAUUAUUUAUGGGACCACCUACUGCCACCGUUUGCCUCCCACCGACCUGUGCGCUCUCACAGAGAGGGACUCCUUAGGGUGCCAUCAGCCAAGCAAUGUCAGUUGGCGGCCCCCAGGGGAAGGGCCUUCUCUGUGGGGGCUCCUACCCUAUGGAACGAACGUCCCUCUGGACUCCGACAACUCCCUGACCUUCGGACCUUCCGCCGUGAGCUGAAGACAUACCUAUUUUUCCGCGCAGGACUGGCAUAAAAUUUUUAGACGUUAUGAUUGGGUUUUUAAUUUUUAAUUGGGUUUUAUGGUUUUUAAAUGUAUUUAAAAUUGGGGCCAAAUUUGAAUAAGUUUUUUAGUUAUUGUUUUAUCUGUAUUGUGUUAUUGAUUGUAGUUUUUACUUGGCUGUAAACUGCCCUGAGUCCUUUGGGAGAAGGGCGGUAUACAAAUUAAAUAAUAAUAAUAAUAAUAAUAAUAAUAAUAAUAAUAAUAAUAAUAAUAAUAAUAAUAAUAAUAAUAAUAAUAAUAAUAAUAAUAAUAAUUAAAUGUUAAAAAUUUUCAAACUGUAAGAACAAUUUUACCAAUAAUUCAGAGAAGCGAACUUUUGAGACUUUUAAUUUGAAAUCUUCCACUAAGUAGAGAAAUGGCCUAAAUGAUCCCUUCCAACUCUUUGAUAUCUUUCAGAACUUCAACUUCCUGGCUAGACUCUAUUUGGAGAAGCAAAUAUUUCGUUCCCUUUUCAUUCUUUAAUAGAAAACCCAGUAGUUACAUCUUUAUAGGAAAACUUGUGUGCUUCUUUACUUAAAAAUCUAGUAUCCAGAGAAGCAAUACCUUUAUUAUGCCAGCUGUCAAGUGUCAAGACAUAUUGAACACCAAUUAGGGACAAAUAAUCAUGGAUAAAAAUCUAACUUUACUUAAUGUUUAAAAACAUUUUCAAUACAAAUUGAGUGUUUGAUUGAAGCAUUCUGAAUAAGGGUCUGUUUAAGAAAGAAAAUUUCCCUUCAAGGCAUUCCUACCAAACAGACAUUAACCUAUCAAAGUUUCCAUUAGUUUUUCUUGUAAUUAGCAACCACGGAUAUUACACUUCCAAGUCUACUGCCCUCUAGCUAAU